AACGAACGCUGGCGGCAUGCCUAACACAUGCAAGUCGAACGAGACCUUCGGGUCUAGUGGCGCACGGGUGCGUAACGCGUGGGAACCUGCCCUUAGGUUCGGAAUAACUCCCCGAAAGGGGUGCUAAUACCGGAUAAUGUCUUCGGACCAAAGAUUUAUCGCCUUUGGAUGGGCCCGCGUUGGAUUAGCUAGUUGGUAGGGUAAAAGCCUACCAAGGCGACGAUCCAUAGCUGGUCUGAGAGGAUGAUCAGACACACUGGGACUGAGACACGGCCCAGACUCCUACGGGAGGCAGCAGCGGGGAAUAUUGGACAAUGGGCGAAAGCCUGAUCCAGCAAUGCCGCGUGAGUGAUGAAGGCCUUAGGGUUGUAAAGCUCUUUUACCCGGGAUGAUAAUGACAGUACCGGGAGAAUAAGCUCCGGCUAACUCCGUG
RNAcentral lists this ribosomal RNA (433 nucleotides) under uncultured bacterium. RNAcentral describes it as "partial 16S ribosomal RNA". It matches the Rfam family "Bacterial small subunit ribosomal RNA", at positions 29 to 507 of the family's 1533-position model. The record is from RNAcentral.